UAAAUAAUAAAACAUAGAAUGUACAUAACAUAAAAAUUAAAAUCAAAACCAAUCAUAUUAUAAUAAUAACAACAAAAAUAAAUAAAUUUCCUUUAUACCAUUACUUACUUUAUUAAAAAAAUAUAUCUUUCUUUAUUUUUUUUUCCUUUCUUUUUCCUUCCCUCCCUUUUCUUCUUCUCCUUCUCUUUUUCUUUUUCCUUUUUCUUCCUUCUACGCCACCAUUAUAAGGGGGGUGGUGCCACCUGUGGCAGUGGCACCUUUGGUGCCGCCUCUGCCACUAGCACCUUUGGUGCCGCCUGUGGCAGUCCCUCCACUCCUGUUUGUAUUAUUUUGGUACAUAAUAAAAUGUUUGUAUUAUUUUGGUAUAUUUUAAAUUUUUUUGUAUUAUUUUUGUAAAAAAACCCCAACUUUGUUUUUUUAUGUUUGGUUCAUUUAAAUUUAAACAAAUUAAUAAAAAUUACAAAAUUAAAUAGUGAAAGCUUAAUAAUUUAAAUUUAAAUCAAUCAAUAAAAAUUUAUUAAUUUUAACCUAAUUUAAUAUAAUGUAAACUCUAUUUUUAAAUAUUUAUUAAUAUAAAUUUGAAUAAAAGAAUA
This 593-nucleotide long non-coding RNA is filed under the name Gossypium raimondii (Peruvian cotton). Its description in RNAcentral is "long non-coding RNA (GRAI_LNC001529)". Lineage: Eukaryota; Viridiplantae; Streptophyta; Magnoliopsida; Malvales; Malvaceae. The record is from RNAcentral.